UUCUAUUCAUAUACUUGAGUCCUCCCUCACAGCUUAAAUUCCUAUAGAUCAAGAGUCAAAUAUAAUUUGUGUCUCCCCUUGUAACUAAAAGCCGCAUAUGGCUGAACGACUUUGGAAGCAUUAAAAACUUUUCUGAGUCUCAAUUUCCAUGUUUAUAAAAAUAGUGAUAAUAUUAUCAGGUUAUUAUAAUGAUCACUAAAUGCCAUAGUUUAUCUAAAGUAUGUCUAGUGCCUUCACACACGAUGUCCUUAACAAAUAUGAGUCCCCUCUUGGCUUGUUUAUAGGAAAUAUUCCAGUAAAAAUUUUACAGCCCUGGAGUCAGUAGCGAUGUUCUGGAAAAUGUUUAACAACUGGCUCUAUAGUAGGGGAAACAGCUGCCUGAUUUGUAGUAUUUCCCGUUAUCUGGAAAUCCUCCUGUUGCAGCUGAUUUCAAGUAAUCAACAUGACAUCACCGAACACAGAGCUGGGAAGAGAUGACUCGUAACGAAGAAUGAUGUAACAUUUCCAUUGCACAGAUUCAGAUGCAAUAGAUGUAAAUAACCUCAAGAGCACAGAUAAUAAUACGGAGUAAAAUAGAAAGUGGUGAGUUUUAAAUAGAACUUAUUUCGAUAUAAUUUAUGUUGGUGUGAGCUAAUUUAACUUUUAAUCAUGGCUGUAUUUAAAAAUUGGCUCACAGAUUCAGGAAAAUUUAGCAAUUGGCUCUUGUAAGGCAGUACCAGCCAACAAACCCAUUGUGUUUCAUCUCCCACUUUCCCAAUCUACCUUUCUAGGGGUUCUUCCUUGAGGACAGAGUUGGAAAAGUGGGAGUUUUCCUCUGAUAUUUCUGUGGAACUGAGCUUUGGAAUCUUCGGCUCAGUGUCCUGUAUCCUCUAUCACUCCCACUUCUACCCUGGGUCACUGCUUGAUUUACUGCAGAACAGAGAGAAAUGGAUGAGGGCAGCCCACCCUCUUCUUUUACUGUCCUGCCCCGUUAACCUCCCAGCACCACUCCACACAAAGCUGCAGGAGUGAUUAUGGCUUCCUGUGACGAAGAGUUGAAGAGUAAUUAGAGAAAAUUAGAAUGUUGGAAGAGAAAAAUCUAAAAGCUGUAGGAUAACUGUGACUUUUCCAGAGUCCAAGGGAAACAUACAAAACACUUCACUUUUUAAAUUCAAGAACUAUUUAUUUGAUAUUUAGGUUUACCCUGUACUAAGCAGAGAGCAUGUUUAACAAGAGGGAGGCAUUCUAAGAAUUUAAUUUGGUAUCUUAUUGUCUGUUUUUAUUGUUUCCCAAAGAAUCCAUUUUUUUUCCUACCUGCCCAAGGCGAACUGGAGAACAACAGUUCUUUCAAAUUUGGUGUCAAGUUGUCUCAGUCUCACACUAGAUGAGGUAUGGGGGGUGGGGAUGAAGGAUUUUCAGAAUAUAUAUUGAUGACUUCUCACAUCCUGGAUUCCAACAAAGACAUUGGGCUGAGGAAGGUUUGGGGCUCCACGUUUUAUAGAAAUUGCAAAACCUUCCAGGUGUAGUCUCUCUGGAGAUCUUCUUGCUGGGGAAAAUUAUAGUCAUACCUAUUUAUUCUCUUUAAUAUUUUGUGGGGACUAUUAACCUAUUUCAUUAAGCACAUAGAAAUAUUUCUGAAGGACAACCAUUAAUUCUCAGUGCCAGUAAACCCCAAGCCCCUAAGAGGAACAGAAGGUUUAUACAAUGGUCUUAUAACUUUCAAGGCACCUCUUGCCAUGCAGUCAGAAAAUCUUGUUAGGCAGAGAAGCUGAGUUCCUUUGUUUUGCUCUGUUAUUCUGAAAUUACUCACACCAUCCAAGAAUGAGAAACAAGCACAUUCCUGGUCUACGUUGCUCCUUCAGCCUCUUACAGGACAGCUCCAGGUAACGCUGAAAACUGGGUUUCAGGUGUUAAGACCAGAGAGGUUAAAUGAGACAAACUCCCUGUUAUGGAGGAAAACACAGGUACGCAGAUAAAAGACCAUGAUGCGAUGUGAUAAAGGCUGUAACAGUAUGAACUAAAUGGGGGCAUUCCUUUUCCAUGUGGUAGCAGUUAUAACAGUAGCCUUCCAGAUCCCUAGGGACUUUCAAUUUCUAAAAUUAAUUGUUCCUUCCUGCAGGCCCCUCGAGAAGAAGUGCAAGCACGGGUUCCAGAGGGAUCACUUGGACAUUUACAAGGCAGAAGCAUCCAGAGAAGGCCCUUCUCUGUGACUUUGGGGCCAUGUGCUUCAUCUCCGGUGCAAUGAAUUGGCCAGGGUCUGUCUGUGCCUAGGUUAUUAGUCGUUCUCCAGGUGAAGAGUCAGACCAGGUGGAAUAAGGAGUUAGUCUGCUAGGAAGAGGGGUUGCUCUAACUACAAGAUAGGAAAGGAAGGAUGCUGGACAGGCAGCAAAACAGAUGUCCACUACACUGAGGAUAGACUUCUAACUUUUCUACUAGAGAUAAUGCAAUUCAAGUAGCAUCAUCAACUUAUGCAUAGGUAAAUAUGCCUCAGAGAGGCCAAAUACUGAUUACUGUGCCUUUAACCACACAGUCAACAAAGAGUACAUUCCAUUCGCUAGUACCUGGUACCUACGCAUAUACGCAGUAAAAAUGAUAUAUCUUUGUAGCCCCUAGUCCAGUGCUUGGCACACACGAAGGACUCAAUGAACACUUGUUAAAUUAAUAAAUGCACACAUGAAUGUACUGAAUAUAGAUAUGUCAGCCUUUAAUCUAUAGGGGCUUUCAGGAGGCACUGCUGACUUUUCUUAAUGAAGAAUUUAUUUUGUAAACCUAUGUCCAGCAGCAAAAGUUUAAAAUUUUGACUUCUGAGCCAGCAUUUUAGAAACUUACUUUAUCCUCACCCACUGGCGUUGGAAACCAAGAACAUCUGAAAGCUUUUGUAUAAUCUGAUUAAGAGCUGAAUAAGAAGAGGCAAGGGGUUAACGAUUAGUGGUUUAACACCACAUUUACCUAAGCUGAAAGGUUUUUCUAAAGAUCUUUUAAAAAAACCUUUGUGGAGUAUGUAAUAUGAGGGCUGGGCUUGCAGCCCAAAGUUAACACAUCCACCACCCUUUCUGCCCAUUCUUGUCACUUUCAAUGCUCAGAAUUCUUCCACACCUAAGCUCUGAGACAAUCCUGCUCCAUUUUCAUCUGGGACAGAAUUAAUUCCCUGGUUUUAUAGCGCCAUCAGAAAUCUGUAAGCUUUUACUCUUGAGGGACUGUGUGGUUUAUAACAUGCACUCUCAAGGGAGCUGAUAUCACCGUCCAGAAGGCAACAACUGGUUCUCAGCUUGGGGAAAUCUUAGACAUUAUAAUGACCUGCUGCCCUUCAAAGGACCACAGGGCAUAAACAGAUAGACAGCAUCUUGGAUCAUUUCACUGGGGCAAAUGAGUCAAAAACGAUUUUAAGAGGCUCCUUUAGUGGAGCAACAACAAGAUAAUUUUUUAAGGGUUGGGAAGCACUAGGUUACAAGGAAAUACUUGAAAAAACACAAAUGCUGUUUCUCUUCUCAUCCUACUGUGCCUCCAGGGAAAAGGAUAUUGCACAGUGAGUUAGGAGGGUUGGCUUCUAACUUUCAUAUCUACCACCAAUGAGUAAAAACUUUCAUUUUUUUAUUCACUAAAUAUUUAUUGAGCAACUUCUAUGUUCAAGGCACUGUACUCCAGGACUCUAGAGAGAGGUACAAUGAUAAACAAGGCAUAGUGUUCUCAGAGGGUUUAUCUUUGGGAAUUGCCUAGAUACUAAAAAGCUCCAAAUAUCUAUAAGUAAUAAUGCUGAUGAUAAUAAAUGCAAUAGAGGUCAAUGGUACAUUAUAAUUAAUUAAACAAAUUAUAAUAAAUGCUAUAAAGAAUUUUUAAAAGGACAACAGGAAGUUAAGCUGGUAGAAUAUGAACAGAUAUGGCCUUCCUGAGAAGGCUGAUAUAAAGUGAGUCUUGAAUGGUAGGAAGGAUCCAGCCCCACGGAGAUCUGGGGGCAGAGUGUCCAGGCAGAAGAGCAAAGACGAAAGUCCUGGGGCAGGUGUGGGUUUGUACAAGGGACGGAAGAUGUGGCUGGAAGGAGCUGACUGGGCGGAUGGCAGGUGUGGAGCGGUGGGGUGAAGCUGCUGAGUGGCUGUCCUGUUCCAGAAGGCUAAACUGAGCCUCAUGUAAUUCAGGACCUGGGAGAGAUGCCGCAAAUCUCGACAGUGAGGAAAGUAAGGCAGCAAAUAAAACUUAAAGCACCUCCAAGGAUGCUGUCACUGGGCUGGGGCAAAUGCAUGGUUCACCCGGAGAGGAAGGAGUGGGAAGGACUCCUGCAAGCAGAACCUGCCUCCCUUCUAUUUUCGAUUUUUGAGAGGCACAGACCGCUUUUCUCACUCUGCUGAGCUGCUUCUCAUGUUACUUUGGAGCUGCUGCGUAGUGAGGGAGAGCACAGGACUGGGGGCCAGGGGCCUUGGCCCCCAGAUCUCCAUCUGUUCCUAAAUAACUCUGUGUGACAUGAACAAGUCCAUUCGGGGAUCUGGGCCUCCAGACCCUUAUCUGGGGACCAUGAUUAAGAUUCCUCCUAGAACGCAGACUCUGUGAUUCUAUUAUUUUCCUCUUCACCAGAGAUGAGGAGGCGCAUAAACCCUGCAUGCAAGCGCACCCAAACUCUCCUAAAACAAUCAAGCAACUUCCUUUGAAAUGGCUGAGAAGGAAAGUCGCGAGGACCUUGCAGAAAAUGAUGAAACCCAGUCCCGGCUGAAUAUUAAGUUAGAGCGAGGUCUGCAACUGGGCUGGGGGUGGAGAGAGGGGGAGCUGCCAGGGUUGGGGAGAGAGAAAUUUUAAUUGCGAUUGUUUGGCCUGCUGAUCCUAGGCAAAUGACAAGGAGCCCCCAAGCAGCCUCAAACACGGAUAUGUGAAAGGCAGAGACGGCUGGGGGAUGGUUUGGCUUCGCCCUCCCCUCCGAGGCUGUUUGAGGAGCGGUCUGCAGCGCUGACAAGCACGGGUUUUGGAGGCCAUUGAAAAGUUUUGGGCCUAAAUAGGGUAGGCAGCUUGGCUUAAGUGUUGCUAUGGAAUACCUGGCAACCGGCAACAAUAGGCCUUUUAGAGAAUCCAGGGCAAACAGUGACCGUGGUAAUGGGGUGGGCUUAAGGGUCUCCUUGCCCGGCUGGGCCCCUCCUCUCCUCACACAGAGGCCUGGGCACUGGGCUAUGUUCCGGAAAUUCCCUGCACAAAGCCCCAUUCAGUGGGAGGAGGGUCAAUGCGUGUGCUUUGGGAGGGGGUGGCGGUGGGACGGCGGGGUGGGGAGGGGGCGGGGGAGGGGUUUCAGGAGAAGGAGCUUUACUG
Molecule: long non-coding RNA, 5265 nt
Filed under: Sus scrofa (pig)
Lineage: Eukaryota; Metazoa; Chordata; Mammalia; Artiodactyla; Suidae
Description: lncRNA (ENSSSCG00000058560.1)
Source: RNAcentral